Molecule: transfer RNA, 75 nt
Filed under: Thermoprotei archaeon
Lineage: Archaea; Thermoproteati; Thermoproteota; Thermoprotei
Description: tRNA-Thr
Rfam family: tRNA
About the family: Transfer RNA (tRNA) molecules are approximately 80 nucleotides in length.
Source: RNAcentral
GCCCCGGUAGCUUAGCGGUAGAGCGCCGGCUUGGUAAGCCGGAGGCCGCGGGUUCGAAUCCCGCCCGGGGCUCCA